RNAcentral lists this long non-coding RNA (3769 nucleotides) under Panax ginseng (ginseng). Its description in RNAcentral is "long non-coding RNA (PGIN_LNC006811)". The record is from RNAcentral. Lineage: Eukaryota; Viridiplantae; Streptophyta; Magnoliopsida; Apiales; Araliaceae.
GUAAGUGGUGCACUAAGUGCAGCAGGAGAGGUAAUUGUUAUGCUCGCCAAACACAGCCUAAGAGUUAAAGUUUACAGUAAAUGAAACUCAGCUUAAUGUGAUAUACGUGGCUGUUAAAACAGGAAAUAAUCUAUUAGUUUAGCAUGUGCUGGCAACUAUUCAAUAACUUAGCUUAAACAACUCAGCCUGCUUAUAACCUAUUACGUGAUUUGCAUAUCUGCUGUCUUUAUAGAGCAGAGCUUCAACUUUUAAGAUCAGUUUUUCUCUUAAGCAACACACAAAUAGCAGUAUGCAAAUAAUCGAAACUCUGUAAUUUCUACGAGCUGGGUUGCGCAAAUACGAAUUAGAAGCAUACCCAAAUUUGGGGUUAUUAAGGAAGAAGAACUACUGUAGCUAGGAGAUGUGAGUUGAGCGAGAACACAUCAAACAUGAGGUAUGAAUUUAAUAAUUGUAUUUUUAGUUCUUCCUCUUAUUUUUUUAAAAAUUGAAGUUAGUCAAUGGGUUUGCUUAAACCGGAGUGAAAUCUAUGAGAUAUAUAUAGAUAUGUGUUUAUCAAAUGAAUUGUAUGUUAUGAAGAAAAUAAAUUAAUUAGAUUAUCAACUACUUGACAUGCAUGUGAUUGUGUAAUUGAUUGCUGUGAAUAUAAUUUAGGCACAAGUAGAUAAGUGGUUGUGGAGUAACAAGGGAGCUAAACUGGAGAUUUAAUGAAAAUAAAUAGUUAUGACACUUGUGUUGAAAAACAGUGCCUGUAAAGUGUUUGAUAAAAUUCCUCAAUGAACUGUUUUGCUUAACAAUUGCUUAUUCGUUAGAAUUAAAGCUUGGGUUAUAUAUAUAUAUUGAGGGUAAGUAAAGGGUUGUGCCUUGUUAAAUGGAAUGAAAACUAAUUUUUUUUUUAGCUAAAACUAAAUGCUAGAAUUUAGCUUGGCAAGCACCUUUACUCACCGUUUUGGAGCAGCCACCAAGUUGAUUGCAUAUUAUGUGUAGAGAUUAUAGAUUGCAUGUUAUUUUAAGGUGGGGUGUAUUAUGUAAAUAUUUUUGAUAAAAGGUUGUGACUAAUUUACCAAAUGGUUGCCAAAAAUGGCAUUAUAUAAGAGCAGGGCUGCUGCCCACGGUGGCAGCCAUGUCUGUUUAUGGCUUCAGAUGGGGGCUUCCUUGGACUUUCAUUUAGUGUAGAUAAUUUCUAAGACAACCCAGCUGUUAUUGCUCUGUAAUAAGUGUAAAUACCAGUUGUGUAAUGUCCAAAACAUAGUGUAAAAGGAGUCAUUCAUGUAGGGGUGAAAGCUGGGCAAAGCACUUGGGGGGGCUGCUGCCUAACGGCAGCAGUAGGUGGCUGUUUUGGGCAACACAAAAGUGGUCUUUCUUGCUCUUAUGGAUGUUAAUCAGUAGUAACCCGUAUCAGUUGGCUAUUACUCUCUUAAAGGUCCAAUCUGAUAUUCUAAAUGUAGCAACACAUGGACCAAAAAGGGAUGGAAAUUAUGAUCUCUUAAAAUAAGGAAUUUGGGAUGAUGGGACUGCUGCUUAAUGACAGCAGCGAGCAGCUGCUAUUGCUGCACUAGUAAGCCAUUUUUGUUGUGUUGUAAUUCAAGAGUUUACUCAUAACUCUUAACUUCUGGAAAAAAAAAAAUAUAUAUAUAUAUAUAGAAUAUAUAAUAAAACCAUAACUUAAUUAGUUGGGUGAUGAGGAAAAGAAAGGAUUUGUAUAAAAAGGGCCACAUAUAGCUGAUAUCAGUAGCAUUAACAAAUGGAAUGAGCAUUAACAGCUAUUGUUUUGCAGCCAUAUUAAUGACUGUUUCGUAAAAGAAUACAAGCAGUAAAUUAGCAAACUCAAUAAAAAGAAUUAUCAUGAGUACUUGGGCAGUAUUGAAAGUACUAAACUGAGUUCAGUUUUAUUAAACCUCAAAAAGGUUGGAUUAGUAUUUCUAGAUAAAACAAGGUUUUGUAACAAGAUAGCAUAUCAGAAUGAAUCUAUAAAUCAUGAAAAAUACCACGGAAUAACCAUACAAGUGGAAAUUAUCUUUAAUGUAUAAAAUAUACUAUCAAGUUACCUUGUGAAACAUGAAAUACCUUCGGUUUUCACCUUGAAUACCUAAGUUAUAAAGAAGAUUACAAAGUAUACUUAUGGGAAAGGAAAGAAGUAAAAGAAAUAGGAACAGAAGUUAUGUCAGACCCUAUAACAGAAAGAAAAGGCUAUUGUAAGAACAUGAGUGAGAUAUUUGAAAAAUGUAAAUAAAUAUCUCAAGUAUGAGAAUAUCAACUAACAACAUGAUCACUGUGAUUAUGUGAUACGUGAACAUACAAGCUAUAUGACUUAGCUAUUUGGCUAAUAUGCCUGUGUAUACAAAUAAUUGUGUAGGAUCUGUGAGGAUACACAAGUUAAGCUGAAAUUAUACAAAUAGUCUACAAACAAGGCAAGUAUCUAAAUCUUACUCUUUAUUGAGCAAGUAUUUUGAGAUUAUUCAUAUGUUGACAGGUUCUCUAAUUUUUGAACUGUCUUUCAUUAUUUAUGAAUAUUGUAAGAUUGAAUAAUCUUUUUAUUCCAAUCAGCUUCAAAAGAUUGGGUAAGCUAUUAUCUUAUGCAUGAGCAGGUUGCAAAGAAGUCUGAGCCAUUCCUUCUGGCCAGGCACAGCUGUGAAAUAUUUCAAUUUCUUUAUAUUAAGUCUUGAAAUAUUAUUGUGCCAUGAUUUAAGCUGUCCAACUAAAUUGUUGUAGUUGGAAUCUAAAACUGAGGAUGAACAUACCCUUAAAUGGGAUAUUUUUAUUGCACUCUGAGAGUGGUGAUGUAGAACAUGAAAAUUGUUCUUGAAAAGAUAGUAUUGAUCAAUACAGGGCAUAAAGGGCUGAUCACCCUACGUGCUCGUAAGUUAAGACGGUUCAUUUGAUAAUAUUUCUGAUUGAACCUUUUUAAGAAAAGAAAAAUAUGUUCAUGGUCUUAAAACCUCUCAGUUAUUCAAUGAUGUUAUGAUAUUUCAGAAAUAUGAAUGAUUCAAGAUUUAUUGCUUUACAGAUUUGAUUCACUGUCACAGCAUGCUUCAAAGAAAACAUUUAUUUCUUGUUGAGCCUUAAAGAAUGCUAUUACUUGCUGAGCAAUUAAAUGCUCAUACUUGUUUUAUUAUAAAUGUUUUCAGCUCAGCAGACUCGGGCAGAAGGGUCUGGAAAAGACAAGGGAAAAGGAAAAAUAGUAGAAUAGCUGAAGAUUGUUGUAAUAGAUAGUUUUCAUGUUUGUAAAUAUUAAACUAUCAUGUAAUAAACGUGUAAAGGUCUACGUACCUGGGAUUAGAAGAACUUUGAUGUAAUAACUUUACUAAGUUUAUGCUUAUUAUGUUCUGAACAUUUUAUUUCCCGAAUUUGGGGGCGUCACAACUGUAGUUCAAGAGUGCCGUCUACUUCAUUAAGAAAUUCAAUGCAAGAGAUGGCUCCUUUCAAUGGUUAAAUUAUAAGAGGUUGGCAGCCUGUUGAUGUGGUUAGGGUGCUAAUGGCGCAUUGAAGUAUUUAGGAAGGUUAAGAAAAGGAGCAUAUUUUAUAUAUACUCGAUUGAGAAAAACUCCUGACAUCAGGUCAACGCAUUUAUACUCCCCUCCAUCCCAUUCUGGCCUAAUAUCAACAUAUCUUUAAGGACUUUCACAGGUUUAAUAUCGAUGGUGAUAGAAAUUGAUAGAGAUGAAUUGUUCCUGUAGUGAUUGUUCUUUGAAGCAUUUCAAAGGAUAAGAUUUUCUGGACCUUAUGGUUGGUGGUGGAAGUGGUUUAGAUACCAGAUUUCAAGAAAUAGAAC